Molecule: ribosomal RNA, 407 nt
Filed under: uncultured bacterium
Lineage: Bacteria
Description: partial 16S ribosomal RNA
Rfam family: Bacterial small subunit ribosomal RNA
Source: RNAcentral
GACGAACGCUGGCGGCGUGCCUAAUACAUGCAAGUAGGACGCAGUUGCGAACGGGUGAGUAACGCGUAGGUAACUACCUAUUAGAGGGGGAUAACUAUUGGAAACGAUAGCUAAUACCGCAUACUAGUAGAUGGACCUGCGUUGUAUUAGCUAGUAGGUCGGGUAAUGGCCUACCUAGGCAACGAUACAUAGCCGACCUGGAGGGGUGGUCGGCCAAACUGGGACUGAGGACCGGCCCCAAAUCCUACGGGAGGCAGCAGUAGGGAAUUGUCGGAAAUGGGGGGAACCCUGACCGAGCAACUCCGCGGUGGUUAAGAAGGUUUUCGGAUCGUAAAGCUCUGUUGUUAAGGGAGCGGUACUUAACCAGAAAGGGACGGCUAACUACGUGCCAGCAGCCGCGGUAAUUC